Molecule: long non-coding RNA, 1059 nt
Organism: Anopheles coustani
Lineage: Eukaryota; Metazoa; Arthropoda; Insecta; Diptera; Culicidae
Exons: 8
Source: RefSeq, a predicted model, not a curated record
GGAUAACGCAAUCAUGAGGAAAAGGAACAACAUCUGCGCCCGAAACAGUGAUAAAAUACUUUGUCAAGUGUAACAAUUUGAAUAACUUGGAACAACGAAAAAUUUAAUCGAAUGGAAUGGAACCGAUGGAAUGUGUAUUCAUUGCUGGUCGCCUAUGAAUCGCCAACCGAAGUUGCUGAGAUGUUAUAAGUAUUGUGUUCGGACUUCGGGAAAUCAUGAAGUUUAUGAAUCUAACACGUUACAUUACAUUCCAUCUGUUCACCACAUAACCUCACUGGCUGAAUCAUGAAAAGUAAGGAAUCAUGGGCAAUUGUAGGAUUGUAAAUCCGCAUUGUUUGCGGUUCUAUGUUGUUUAUACGAUAAUUUCAUCCGCAACCAUGGCGUUGAGAUCAUAACAUUGCUAAUGAAUAUCGCAACUAUACCAUAAUUGUACCAAAAACAACUAUAAGCUGAAUAUUGUUCAACUGGAACUUCCGGUACUUUUUGCAUGUUUCAGUGUGUCGCGUAUUGCCUAUCUAAAGCAUGCCUAAGUGUCGUUUGGUUUUACUCACCAUAAUCACUCUCUGUGGGACAUGAAAUAAGCUGCAGUGCCAUACAGUGUUAUCAAACCCAUCUUGGAGAAACUAUUCAUGCACGUGCGAAACUAUUCCUAAUGUGUUUCAAACAGUAAACUAUGAAGCUGUGUGUUUGUUUAACUAAGGAAAGCUAUAAAUAAGAAAAGCAGCUAGCAAUAACUGAUCAAAUUUGAAUCAUCUGGUUGUUUGAGUAACAAAUAUUUGUUAAGUUUAAGAUUUUGUCGCGGAAUGUCCAGCUAUAGUGUACCACAAAUAUGAUCAUACAAUUUAGGGAUAUGAAAUAAGUGCUACAGCGUAGAUUACACAGGGUUUUCCUGUCAGAUUUUUUUUCCAAUCCUAAUUUAGCAAAAGAGUACUUUAAUACUGUUCAGAAAGGAUGUCUUCGAAGUGCUGCGCGGCCACGACAUCAUCGGGCAGAGUGGUGCAGGAAACAUGGAACAAUUCUUCACAAUAACAGCAUCGCAGCGUCGCUGCGUCCGAUACA